Mesocricetus auratus (golden hamster) is the source of this 575-nucleotide long non-coding RNA. RefSeq lists it as uncharacterized. The transcript has 2 exons. The record is from RefSeq and is a predicted model, not a curated record. NCBI's taxonomy places the organism in Eukaryota, Metazoa, Chordata, Mammalia, Rodentia, Cricetidae.
UUCUAGGUGACAUAAAUGAUUUUUAAAAAUUCUCAGAGCCAGGAAUGUCAUACCUCCUUAAUAGUGUUCGAUGAGUCUCCUGAGGUACCUCCUGCGCACCAGAGGACACAGACACCUUCUGGUUGUGAAGAGAGGAGUUGAUGGUAGUGUCUCAGCAAGAUUACAAGAUGGACACAGAUACCUUCUGGUUGGGAAGAGAGGAGUUGAUGGGAGUGUCUCAUCACAAUAUUACAAGAUGGACACAGAUACCCUCUGGUUGGGAAGAGAGGAGUUGAUGGGAGUGUCUCAGCAAGAUUACAAGAUGCCAUGAGGCAGCACAAAAGGGAGAGCUGUGUUCCCGGGUACGAUAGUGUAAACCAGCACAUUUAUAUAUCAAUUGCAUCCUGUAAAGGGCUAGACUGAAUGUCUUUGAGGAAUAUUUAUUCCAAACAUUGCCGCAAUUGCUAAGAUUAAAAAGGUAAAAUAAAAAAUGAACAUUACCCAUUUAUGAAUGAAGACCUGCCCUUUACUUAAAUGGCACCUGGACAGUAACUAAUAUUAUACUAAAAAGAGAAUGAAUUCAUUACUCAGAAGUA